GGGGAGAGCAAUGUGGGAGGUGACAAGGCCCAUGGAGGGAGAGAGCCAGGGCACCCCCACCCUGCCUUCUUCCCUCUCCAGGCCAGUUCCUUGGGACCAGUGUUGCAAUCCCAGUGCAUUCUAGAGCAUGUGCCAGGCCAACCUUCCCUGAGGUCCCACGGGGUCAUCCCUAGAAAGUACCAACCCAUCUCCAGCCUCUCUUCCACACUGGGCAAAGUCCGAGCACAGCCGCCUCCCACCCGAGAACUUUGGCCCCAGCGGAGAGCAGCUCAGACAGAGGACGACGAGGGAAGGUGUACAGCACCGCAGAGACCUCUGGGACCUGAGCCUGAGGGAGACAGAGUGGCCUCUCCAGCUCCCACCCUGUGACCUGGGACAGCGACCUGACAAGUAGAAACCUCGCUGUCUUAAAUCAUCCACUCCGAAACCCUGCUGCUGGACAUCAUGUCCCUAAGCAUGGACGGUCCCACUCUUGCCUGGAGGAUCUGUCACCUCCACAGGACAGAAGGAAGUGGCCUCACUUUCUAAACCAGGUACCAAGCUUCAGAUAAACUUUCUGCAUGUGUCUUCAUCUACUUUCAGGUGCACGAAAUGCGAACUUGGGUCUGAUACCAGUCAAGAUCUGAGGUCGAGCUCUGCACUUCCUCCACCCCAGCUCCUAGAGGUCCUGGGCCCUCAGCCCCCGCCCCAGAAAGGACUCCUCCCUAAUCCUGCAGGGCUGUCGUCCCUAAAUCACAACCACCCCACCAGCCCCGUGCCUCUCCCAAUACAGCCUCUUCCUCUAUGCUUCCCACUUCACAUCUCCCAGCCCAGAGCCCUUCUCAUCAAUUACCUCCCCUACCCCAUGAGGGCCUUGUGCUCGCUCCAGAGGAGCCCCAUCCUCCUAGGCGCCUCACAGCGGAACCCGAGGGCCAGGGGAGCUGUGCCAAGCCGGAAGGGCUGCGCCCCAGUGGUCCUCCCGGAAGUGCGCCUCCCCCAAGGUUCCUCACCCCUCAGGUGCUGGGCCACGAACCCACCUGCCCCAGUGCGACUGCGGCCAUGAUCUGUGCGGCGAUCAACUGUGCCCGCCAGGGGUGCUGCCAGAAGAAAGACGUUCCGGCCACGCCCCACUCACGCCCCCUCCCGCAGGAUGACUGUGGAGGGGUGGUUCAGCCAGGCCUCCAGUUAUCGGAGCUGGGCCUUGCUCCCGAGCAGAUGCACAGGAAUAGGAAGAAACUGAAAAACACACCCCUUCCAAGCCCCCGCCCUCCUCGGUCCCAGCCACACUCACGCCCCGCAAGAGCCUUCUUGUAGUGUUUACUUAAUGCGCUUUUAAGGAUGUCGUCAAGUGCUGGCCAGGAUAAGUAGCCCCGGGGAAAGCAGCGCAAAGGCAAGGAGCAGAAAGCUCCGUUUAUCACUCUUUUUGUGAAAAGGAAGAGCUCGCAAUGACUGUCAGUGAACGCACAAAGAAAUGGGACCUUGGGAAGUGGCCUGUUAUGAGGGGAGCUUGGCGGAGCUUGGCUCUGCAAUCUGGAUGCAUCCCUGUGUGAAUAUGUAGUUUUUCUUACCAACGAGAAGAUAAACUAUGUGUGUUCUUUGUCCCUGAGAUAAAAGCACCCAGGGUUCCCUCCUUCUAGUCCCAUUCAUCAGUGAAGCCCCCCAAAUUUCCUCUCUCUGCCCCACUCAUCAUGAGCCUGAGAUAACAGCCCCGUGCAGGGGGCCCUGGUGACCGCCUUCAUGAGCAUCUCCCCGACUUCAGGGCCCCUGGCCAAUCACACCCUUCAGGGUCCCUCUGACCUGGCCAUUCAGACCUGUGGCAAUGAGUGACCCUUAGAUCAUGCUGCUCGAUCACGCACUGUCUCCAAACUCCUGGAUCCAGGUCACUGUGACACUAAAACCUCAUCUCUGCUGUAUUCCCAACACCUGGGGACUUUCUUCCCAAAUUCUACCCCAUUCCCCUCAUGUCCACAAAUCCUGUUCCAGAAUCGCUGUCCUCCACCUCAAAAGGCCACAGGAUAGGGCAGGGGACUUAGCUCAGUGGUUCCACCGCCUGCCUCGUAAGCGCAAAGACCCAAGUUCGAUUUCCGGUACCCUCCCCCAAAAAAGGCCACGGGCCGGAGUGGCCAAAUCACGCACCCUCCACCCCGCGGAUGUUGCUCUUUUUCUUCUCCGCGCCCGAGUCCCCCACACCCCGCCUCCUAGUCCGGGAUGGAAGGGGCGUUGCCCACCGGCCGGCCCGCCCCCGCCUCGGCCAAUCAGCGCUUGCCGCACACCCCCGACCGCGACCAACCCGCAGCAGCCUGCAGUCCCGCCCCCUCACUACGCUGCGUCUGGGCCCGGUGCCCACCCGGGGGCCGCACCCCCGUCUCCCUCUGACCCCUAUGUCUCAACCUUCCCACGGGGCGGCCACCUUCUUACUGCACAGGCCAGAAGCUCCUUUCCCCUUAGGGCCAAGAAUAAAGAGACUUUUUUUUUUUG
This is a non-coding RNA of Heterocephalus glaber (naked mole-rat), 2457 nucleotides long. NCBI's taxonomy places the organism in Eukaryota, Metazoa, Chordata, Mammalia, Rodentia, Bathyergidae. The record is from RefSeq and is a predicted model, not a curated record.